This 11877-nucleotide long non-coding RNA is filed under the name Eucalyptus grandis. Its description in RNAcentral is "long non-coding RNA (EGRA_LNC000876)". Lineage: Eukaryota; Viridiplantae; Streptophyta; Magnoliopsida; Myrtales; Myrtaceae. The record is from RNAcentral.
UUUCGUUCUCUUUCCUUCGCCACUUUCAACAGAGCAACACGGAGGGCUAAAGCCUCCGCUUUCAUGGCUGAAUCGACGUCUAUUUUUUCGGCAAAGCCAUCUCUGAGGACCCCGUUUUCAUCUCUGCAGAUCCCGGCGACUAAUCCCGUCCUCUGGCCUUUAGUCCACGAUGCAUCCACGUUGAGUUUCAGGUAGUUCUUGGCCGGCGCUACCCAUUUUGCGAGUGCGUCUAUGCUUUUGUUUCUGCAGUUUUGCUUUUUAGGGUUCCACCGAUUGUAAAGCUCCAGGUCUGCGUUUGCUUCGUGACAGCUUCGCGUGGUCGCGGUGAUUCGCCCUUUGAAGACCGCAGCUUCCAAAUCUGCCACAAGACUCCGGCUACGAGCUCCUUCAGCCGAGGGUUGCCGCAUGAGGUAAGGAUUUCAAACAGCCAUUUGUCUAUUCUGAUAAUGUUGUUGGGGGAAGGGUUCAGCUCUAGUUUCUAAUUUGCCCAGAUCUCUUGUGUCCAUUGGCAAAGGAGGAAGAGGUGUUCUGGCGUUUUUGGCAUUUGGCGACACAUUGGGCAGCUCUGGUUAGGUAACAUCUUCCUUUUAUAGAGGUUUUCCUUCAUUGGUAGCUCAUUAGUACACAGGCUCCAUAUAAAAACAUGAUCUUUGGAUGGGUGUGAAGGUCCCAGAUCAGGUUCCACUGCUUUUUGCGGGUCUGAUAUGACGCGGACGCAUGGGAUGUGGCUUGGUCGUCUGUUGUUUGCAUGCUGUCGUAUCCACUUUUGACUUUUGGAUCUAUUGUUGGUCCAUGUGAUUUUGUCUCCGUUCAUUGAUUGGCUAAGCAACGUCGCAAGGAUUUCUCUGGAUAAGUCAUCGUCGAUUGUGAAGCACCGACAGUGUUCAAGAGCCUUUGUAUUAUGUUGUUUGACACUACUACACUCAGUCAACGCAUGUCGAAAAAUUCAACACUUGGUUAACUUUUUUCGAUAUUCUCUUACAUUUAAGUCGGAAUUCCAAUAUAUGAGUUUCUAACAUGUGAUUCCACUAUCGAUGUCAAUUUUAAAAUUUUUUUAAAUGUCAAAAUGUAUAUAUGUAAAAAAAUAAAACACAAUAAUUAAAAUAAUAAAUGGAGAAAGAAGAAAAACUUUAUCUUCUACUCUUUUGACUCUACUUUCCUGAUAUAUACUUCACUUCUAAAGUUUUUUUUUUCCUACUCCGACAUAUGUAACAUGAGAGUCCAAAACGUGGAUUGCUUAAUUUUUUCUUCAAAUUUUAUGAAUUAUUGGAAUAGAGUUGAAUUUGUUAAAUUAAAAAUAUGAAAGAUGUUAAUAAAUGGUGGAUUAAUGUUUUUAAUAUAAGUUCAUUUUAGGAUCUUAAAACUAUUUAUUUAUUGGUGAAUUUGAUCGAAAUAAUCAUAAAAAAGAUCAUUUAUUAUGUACAUAUAAAAAUAUAUAUUUAAUAUAUAACGUGUUCCAAUAUGUCGGAAUUCUCUAUUUUUUGAGAAACGACAUGCCGUGUUGUGUCGCGUCGCAUCAGUGUCGAUACUACUUAGGUCAUCGAACUAGGCUGCAAUCUUAUGCUCAUCCCACUAUUUGGAUUCUUGGUCAAUUAGCUCAGCCACAUGUUGGGGUUCUCCUUAGUUUUUUGGUCCUCCUAUGCAUCCUUGUGCUAAAGACUUGUCUUCUCUCACUCUAAUAUGCAAUCCAUCACCCACUACCCAUCUCACUCUAAUCUGCAAUCCAUCACCCACUACCCAUCUUGUUUGUUGCUCUUAUCACCUCUCUUCCUUGUAGCAAACUUUGCCAUCCCCAGGACGGUCUAGAUCCCCUGUUCGCCCUCAUGAAAUCCCCUAAAGGGAAGUAUAGUCCUUUUAGCAAUUACUCCAUAAGGCUAAAGGGGCUUGUAUGAGUCUCUAGGCCUGUUUUUCGAGCAUGGCCUUGUUAAAAGCAACAAGGUCCUUAAAUUCCAAAUCUCCACAAUCUUUUCUUCUUUUUUUCAGCACCUCCCACUUCUUCCAAUGGAUGUCUGCCUUUGCCCUGCUUUUUUUCUAUCACAAUGUGGCAAUCUUUUGUUCAAUUGAUCUACAAAUCGAUAACAAGAUCUUAUAAAUAGUCAAUAGUAUAUUGCGGCAAUGCUUGUACAACUAUUUUGAUAAGGAUCUCCUUUCCCGCUAUUGACAUUAUGUUCUCUUUCCACCCCUCAAGUUUCAUAUUCACCCUCGUUAGAAUCCACACGAACAUCCCUUUCUUCGAUUGCCCCCAAUCUAAUGGAAUGCCGAGAUAUUUUCCUAUUUUUUCGAUGAUAGGGACUCUUAGUUCUUUUGCUAUGUUCCUUCUUAAUUGCUAUGGGCAGUAGUUAAAGUAAAUACCCGACUUGUUUAGGUUAAUUGCUUGACUGGAUGCAUAACAAUAUUGGUUUAAAAGAUUUGCAAUAUUCUAACAUUCCUUAAUUGUAUAGUUGAGGAAGAAUAUUGCAUUGUCUGCAAAUGGUAAGUGCGUAAGUAUUGGACAACUUCUAUUUAGUUUAAUCCCUUUCACCCUUUCAUCCCUAAAUGCUUUUUGUAUAAGUAAAGACAUCAGAUUAGUCAUAACAAUGAAUAAGUAGGGUGAGAGAGGGUCCCAUUGCCUUAAUCCUCUAGUCGGCUUGAAAGCCUAAAGAGGUUCCCCAUUCACUUUGAUGCUGAAGUUGACAGUUGAUAUGCAUGUUUUUCAUUAAGGAAACCUAGCAAUCACUAAAGCCCAUUUUGAUCCAAGAAAUCCCAUUCGACUCAGUCAUAUGCUUUUUGCAUAUCAAGUUUAAGUACCGCCUGAAACUUUCUUUUCCUUUUCCUGAUUCUUAGUUGGUGCAACACUUCUUGGACUAGUAAUAUAUUGUCUAGUAUUUGUCAUCUGCCUAUGAAAGUGCUUUGCUCCAUUUCUAUCAGUUCGGCAAGCUAGUGUUGGAUGCAAAUUGUGUAAUCACAAUAUCUCCAUAACUAGAACAGGAACAUGCAUAAUUGAGUAGAAAGAUUAACGCACCUGUUUUGGGAUCCAUUGUUCUUAAAGCGGAAGCGGAAAUACAAUGUUCCAUGCGUAAGUUCUUCUCCUCUAUUGCCCUCCGUAUCAUUGGCUCAAUGAGGCGGCCCCCUCACGUGUAGCGUUAGAUAAACGUUCCUCAUGUGAGGAUGCAGGUGAGAAUUAGGGUUAGAGGGGAGACUUGAGCACUAUUUAUAGAGUUUCCAGCCAGUCCCCCUCAUUACGGGCCAAGCUCAACUCGACCCACACUAGCCAGCCCAUAUUAGACUAAUUAAGAAACAUUCUAUCUCACCUUAGACUAAUCUUGUUUUACGGUAACCGUAAUAAUAAUAAAUUACAAUAUCAAUUAAUUUAGUCCACAUUAGGAAAACUCUUACAUUUUCCCACUUGGACUAUAUUAAUUGAAAUCAUACUGUAUGUGCGCACAUUUGGUCCAUAGAUAAUUCUUAAUAAUCAAUCCUAUCUUAUAAAGUCUUAAACACCGAAUCAUGGCGGUAACUGCAUGUAUACACACAGAGCCUUCCAUGGUCACGAAUGCUCUUAACUUUAUUGACAUGGAUUCAAUAUGGUAGCGUGUCAAAUGAAUAACAUCUCUUAUAGUGAGAUCCCAUUUGUCAGUGACCAUUCUCUUACCUUAGGUGUCACAAAAACUUGUGCCACUAGAGAAUGCUUUAUGGUUCCAAUGAACUCACAUAUGUCUUGUCCUUAUGGUUAACUUUUCUUUGUGUAUCACAAGACAUAUGUACAAGACUAAUAACCACAUGCCCGGAUGCCCCUAGCUUUCACUCAAGAUUUAUACAAUCCCUUGAGACUCUAUCAAUAUGUAUUCGACACAAUAACAAUACAUUCAAAAAUAUUUUAUUGAAUGCAAAAGUUGAUACAUAUCAAACCGUUACAAAGUGUAACGAACACAGAUGAAACCUUUAUUAGAGUAAAGCCAAAAUAGCUCCCACUAAACAACAUCUCAUGAUGUUCCUAGGCCCAUGCUAACAAUAUGUCACUCAAAUACACACAGGCGUAUGCCUUUAGUUAGUGGAUCUGCGAUCACAUUAUCUGUGAAAAUAUAUUAUAUUAAAACGUCACCUUUUUGUACCGUUUGUUUUUGGUCAAAAAUUGUGACCACCAUAUAUUUAGACCCAUUGAGACAUCUAUAGUAAAUAAAUAAUACUACAAAUUUAUUAUCUCAAUACAACCGUAUGGGUCUAUCCAUAAAGUUAAAACGAUUAACUUCUUCAUGAGAUUCUAGAGCCUAAAAGAAUGUUAUUAACAUUGCUUACAUAGUAGAAGAUGACAUAGAAUUUUAUUUACUGCUCUUACUGAUAACAUAAAUAUGUAUUCCGUUAUUGAUUGCAUGUCAUCAGAACAGCUAGCAAAGUUUACAUCUAAAUAGCCUACUAAUUGCAAGAAUUGAACAUGUCUGUAAAUUAACAUAUAAUCUCUUGUAUUCUUUAAGUACCUUAAAACCUUCUUGACAGCAACCCAGUGAUUGUGUCCUGGAUUUGACUGAUAUCUUCCCAGAAGUCCCGUCACAAAUACGAUAUUUAGUAUAGUGCAAAUUCAAGCAUAUAUUUUACUUUUAAGUGCACUGACACAAGGUACACCAUUUAAUUAGAUUUUCUCAAUAUCUAAAUAAGGACAAUGUGAUAGAUUCAGUCCAUCACCCUUAACAACAAGAGCAAUUCUUGGCUUGCAAUAAUGUAUAUUGAAUAUUUCCAAUAUACAAUCAACAAAUAUCCUCCGAUAAAAUCUAAUAUAAUAUGGCAAAAAUAAUCCUUACAGACCUUAGUACAAAUGAUAUAAGAUGUCUCAAGGUCACAAUUUGUAAGCAAAAUAUUAUGUACAUAGAGUAUGAGAAAAAAUAAAUUUCCUCCCACUAACCUUGCAGUAUAUUGAAUUACUUUGUUCCCAAUUGAACAAUAUAACAACACUAUGAAACUUUAAUAAUAUUGUCUGGAAAUUUGCUUAAGACCAUGAAUUAGAACUUUUUAGUCUACACACAAGUUUACUUGAAUCUGUUGCAAAAUCAUCCAGUUGCACUAUAUAGAUUUUGUAUUUAUUUGAUGUAACUCCAUAUCAAAAUAAAUUAUAAAUGACACGUUCACUCUGAAAGAAUCUUUAAAAAAUAGUAGAAAGAAAUAAUUAUUUUUGAAUGUAUUGUUGAUUACUAUAAACUAUCCACUCCUCUUUCAAAGUGAAAACAUUAUUAUCUUUUUUUUUAUGGCAUUUAAUCACAUACUUAAUUAAGAACAAGAAACGGCAUUUAUAUAAGUUGCUAAAACAACCAUGUAAUGGAUAUUGUAAUCAUGCUCUCACAAAUAGACUAUAUAGUCUGAUGGUAUAACUAAUCAUCUUUCCCUAAUAAAUCUCCUUAAUAAAGCUACAACCACUUCAUUCUGCACUUGAGAGGUUUAAGAAAUUUCAUUAUAAACUAUAUCAAGAAUAGUACCUUGAACCUCAACAAGUUUAGUCUAUGGUCCAGGAGAUUCCAUAAUUAUCUGUAUAGGUAAAGACAAAAACACAGUAACCUCCAUCAUACUAUCAUCUUUAAUAUUCUGAAAGUAGCUAUCCUCUACAAUUACAUCGAUUUUAAGAAACUUUAUAGUAUGUGAUUCCAUAAUUCUUGUACUUUCUUUAGGGUCAUAAAAUCAAUAUCCAUUUAACAAUCUAGAUAAGAUACAAAAUAAUUCCGAGUGGAUUCGAAUUCUAACACACUUAAUAUUGGAUUAGAUAAUCUCACUUUUGCAUGACACCUCUAAAUUUCAUAUGAUUAAAGUAAUUUAUGUCCAAUCUAUAACACAAAAGAAGUUUAUGAAACAACUUUAAUAAGAGACACAUUUUGUAUGUGAAAAAAAUUGCUUUCAUAAUAUCAGCUCACAAAAGACUAGAUAAAUUAGUCUUACUAAUCAUAUUCAUCAUCAUGUUCAAUAUGAUGCAUUUAUGCCUUUCGGCCAAAUCUUUUUGUCAUGAUUUUCAGGUAUAGUAAUUAAAUUACCAUCUUAGAAUCUACCAAGUAUUUGACAAAUGGCCCUUUAAGCUAUUUCGCAUUGUCAUAUUUGCCAAAAUACUCACGGUCACUGUUAAACUUGACAACCUUUUAAGAGUAAUUGUAAUUGUUUUAUUCUUUAUCUCGAUCAUUUUCCUUAAAUAGAAAACUUUCGAAAAAAAACCUUUUAAUCAUAUACGAGAUGUAUAUGUCAUUAGUACUUAAACACAAUCUUUGCAGAUGUAUCCUAAUUUCAAGCAACUAAGGCUUCCAUCAUCUUAUAGCAGUGCAGUCCGCAUGCAAACCUCUUUUCAAGUACACUUCAUGGACAGUAAGCAAAUUCAAUUGCUUUUUCUUUUAAGUAACAAAUUAUACGUCCACAACUUAAAAUUUUAAACAGUAAAAAUCUCAAUAAUAAUAAUAAAAUUAUUAAUUACAUAAAAUGUGACUGAAAACCAAGCAAUAUAUAUAUAUAUAUAUAUAUAUAUAUAUAUAAUUAGCAUCAUGUGAGUACUGUGUAACUUGACGUAUAAGUACACAUCCAGAAAGUUACAUGCAUAAUCAUAUAAUCACCUUUGGGCAGAAUACAUGACAUGUAUUUGUACACUCCCCACAUAAUAGCAGUUAUGAGAAUAUAUUCCAAUUCUUCGGGAAUUCAUCAUCUUCGGGCAUAUGAAUCACUAGAAUCAGUCACUCCUCCACCAUACUAUCAUGUAUCUCUCCAUGAAUUAAUACACAACCACCUCCUUUGGGAGUAUAACUACACAUUAGAUCAGGAGACAUCCCAAUUAGCAUACGAGAUUGAAAUUUCUCAAACCCAAUCAAGUGUGCCACUUUGGCGGUCACUACUCAAUUAAAUCAUUGAAACUCUCUCAUAUCAGGGAUAUAAACUUUACUACUCACAUACAUCAUAUACAUGUGAUUUUAACUUUAGUGAUAGGGGCAGAUUAUCACUAAAAUCACAUAUCAUGCUAAUUACAUUACUUUAUCCAUCCACACGCCGAACGGAGGCUCCACAUGCCCACACACACCGCCUGAGUGCGCGGCGUGUGGGGGCGCGUGCGGCCUCCUCUGGCGACGCGCCGCCGACCAUCUUGCUCGUCUCGUUGAGCCCAAUCCGAAUUUGUGAUUUAAUUUUAUUUUUAUUGAACAAAAAAUCUCGAAAAUCACAAAUUAUGGCAAAAACUUUAUGCGUUCAAGUUCUAAGGUUAUGGUCGCUUUGAUACCACAUGUUGGAUGCAAAUUGUGUAAUCCCAAGAUCUCUAUAACUAGAACAAGAACAUGCAUAAUUGAGUAGGAAGAUUAACGCACCUGUUUUGGGAUCCAUUAUUCUUGAAGCGGAAACGGAAACACAAUGUUCCAUGCUCAAGUCCUUCUCCUCUAUUGCCCUCCGUAUCACUAGCUCAAUGAGGUGGCCCCCUCACGGUAGCGUUAGAUAAACGCUCCUUAGGUGAGGAUACAUGUGAGAAUUAGGGUUAGAGGAGAGACUUGAACACUAUUUAUAGAGUUUCCAGCCAGUCCUCCUCAUUACGGGCCAGGCUCAACUCGGCCCAUACUAGCCAGCCCAUAUUAGACUAAUUAAGAAACCUUCUAUCUCACCUUAAACCAACCCUGUUUUACGGUAAUCGUAAAAACAGUAAAUUAUAAUAUCAAUUAAUUUAGUCCACGUUACGAAAACUUUUACAGCUAGGGCUUCAACCUACUUGCCAUUACUUCAGAGAUUAUCUUGUAACUGAAAUUACAAAGGCUGAUGGGCCGAUAUUGCACUAUGGAUUAUGGGUGAGCCACUUUUAGAGUGAGGGUAAUGUGAGUGUUAUUGAGGGAAGGGUAUGGAAUACCUGAAACGAAGAAGUCAUCAACCAUUUUACACACAUCUCUUUGAACUAGCUCCCAAUGAUGCUGGAAGAAAUGUCCGUUUAAGCCAUCUGGACCUAGGACCUUAGUAGCCCCCAGCUGAAACACCGCUACCUUCACUUCCCCCAUUGUAACUCUCCCUGUUAGGGCUUCAUUCCUGGCUUCUCUUACUAUGCAUGGGCAUUGGUCUAACAUCGGCUGAAAAUUUCUAGGGCCAACCGUGCCAUAAAGGCGUUAAUAGAAGGUUACAAAGUGUCCUUUAAUAGCUUCUGGAUCCCUGCACCACUUCUGGUCGUCUCAUUUCAGCAUAGUUAUUCUAAUUUGUUGCCUUCUUUGCACCGUUGUAGCAUGGAAGAACUUCGUGUUCUUAUCUCCCCAUCUUAGCCACUUUAUCCUUGAUCUCAUUCCCCUAAACAUCUUUUCCUAUCUCCAUAGUUGUUCGAUUUGCAACUUGAGGUGUUGUGCUUCCUCCUUUCUCAAACCCUUUUCCUUUGCAUUAGUUAUCUUUAUGAGCUCUUUUUUUAGUCCCUCAAUCCUUCUAUAGGCGUUUGAAUAUUUCUUCUUGCUCCAAAUUGCUAGAACAUCGGCAACCUCGUUCAGUUUUCUAGGCAAAUUCAGCUGAGAAUUUGGUUGAUCAUUCCAUAUGGACUGCACUAUUUCUUUGCAUUCAGCAUCCUCCAUCCAAUAUGCUUCAAAUCUGAACUUUUCUUCUUUUCGUCGAUGUGGGAAAUAAUGACAGCAAAAUAGGGCUAUGAUUCGAGCCAAUGGUGAUUCUCCAUUCAAUAUUGCAAAGAACUCGAUCCAACCUCUUUUUGACCAGCUCCUCCCCUUUUUGGUUGUUUGCCUAGGUAAAGGCACAUCCUUUUCUUUCCAUAUCCAUGAGUGCACAAUCAUUUAACAAGUCCCGGAAGGUUGUCACUCUAUAAUAGUCCAUCUCCCUUUUAUCGUACUUCUUCCAAUGAUACAAAAUUUCAUUAAAAUCUUCAAUGUAUAUCCAGGGUAAAGUGUUUCUCCCGUGAGUCAUUCUAAGUUGCUGCCAUAGUUGGAGUCUUUCAUGAUAAUUUGUCGAGGCAUGUAAGAAGGAAAUCCUCAUCUUGCUAUCGCGAUUUAGUUCAUUGCAAAUGACUUCAAUCAUCUCCCCCGAACUUGAUACUAGUCCUAUCGACACAUCAUUGUUCCACAUUAGAGCUAACCCCCCAGCGAUUCCAAUCGGAUUGACAACCAUCAAAUUCUGAAAAUGCAGUUGCUUCUUUACCCUUUCCACUAGGAGUUCCUUAUUUUUUGUUUCAAUUAAAAACACUAAACUAGGCUUUUCUUGAGCUAGUAAGGCUUUAAGAUGCUGGAACAUCAAGGAAGUGCCCAAACCCUGACAAUUCCAGCUUAAGAUUUUCAUUUAAACCCCGGUGGCUUAUAAGGGCUAACUACCAAUGCCCACUCAUCCAUUUCUUUGACUUCUUGAAUAAGUGUUUCUUGAAGGGUCUCUUCAUCUAUAAGCUGAGAAUUUAAGCUUUGCUGUUCAUAGGGGUUGAAGCAUUUCAUUUUUUUUUUUUUUUGUCAUAUGAGCUUUCUUCCCACCCUUCUCUUUAUUUUGGUUCCUAUUAGGUGCCAUUGGACUAGAUGCUUCCUUUAACAUAAGGUGUUGCUCCUGUUGUGUGAAUUCAAUCCCAAGGAAGUCUGGGUCUGAGUUGCUGGCCCAUUUGUGUUUCAGAACACUUUUCUCUGGCACAAUUACCCAGGCUAGUCUAUUUCUACCCUGCCGCUCGUUUUGCUGGUUUGCAGCCUGUGGGAUGCUCUAAAUAGGAGUUUCUGGAAUUAUUUAAUCUAUUUCAGGUUCUGGGCUCAUUUCUUCAUGAAAUAUGUUCCAAAAGGGACUGUUGUCCCUUGCUUCUGCCUUUAUCCAGCUUCCGAACUUCCCCACUUUGUCUUCUUCUUGUUCUGAUUGUUCAUAGGGGAUAAUCUUGUAAUAGGUUGUAUAAUGCCCAAUAUGUUCAUAGAAUAGCAAAAGUGUGGGAGUCUUUCAGAUUUACAAGCCACCCAAAUUUUUUUGUUAUCCAAGUUAACAAUGGUCCCAGACCUCAGAGGUUUAGAUUAAUCUAAUUGUACUCUUGCUUUGCCCACAUUUGUCUUACCAAAUCCUUUAGAUUCCAGCUUUACUUCCUGCACCUUUCCUAUUGUUGUUUCUAUAUCUAUGACUGUUUGUUCAGUGAUUUGACCUCUAGGCAGCCCCAGGAUGUGUACCUAGAAAUCAUAGUGUGUAAAUACAUAGGAAUGGUCAGGAGUGUCACGAUCACACUGUUUUAGAAUUAAGAGGUUGCUAGAGAAAGACUAGGGGCCUGAAAUAAUACUCUAUUUUCUUUGGCUACAGACGUAAAGGUGAAAAAGAAUAGCCCUGGUCCUAAUAUAUCACACGAGACUGAUUCUAAUUUCCAUGCCAUUUUUAUUGUACUAAAGAAAGCUUGCAGAUUGACAUUUGGCUUGGAAUACAGUUUUUCUAUAAGGGUUAGCUCACAUUCUUGUUUUGUUUGUUUUUUUUUUUUUUUUUUUUGGAGGAAUGUCUCCUCUAAUGGUUACUACAUUCUCCUUCGACCAUAACUCCCCCAAACUCCUAUGAAGGGCUGCCAGCCUCCUUUCCUGUUCUUCUCGUUCAUUCAUGGCUGCAAUAUCAACAAAUUCUAAGAACACCUGGAUUUUGGUUUUCUUUUUGGGCGACAGAAGAUCUGGAAUCCACCAUUCACUGGGUCUCUGUCCUUCGCCUUGUAAGAUGAGAUCUUCAGAGUGUAUGGCGUCAGGGUAUCAAGAACACGCUGGGUAGGAUUCCAGCAAAUUUGGGAUGCGGCCACUCUCCUUGCUUCAAGAAUGGACCUCCGAACUGCAAAUCUGUAGGAUUGAGGGGAGCUCUGAACUGAAAGCUGUGGGAUUACAUUUUAUGGCAAUCGAACACUGAUUUCGUUUUCGGGUUUCUAGGGCUUUGUGUCUAAGGGAAGUGGUUCUUCAAUUUGGGCAGAGAAAGAUUUGUUUUCAGUGUUAUGGGUGGAAAGUGGGAUGGAGCGAUGGGAAUUGUCUUAGGGUUUGUUUGGGAUUGCUAUCACCAUUGGGAUAGGGUUUAGCUCAAUUGGGUGAGAGAGGUUCUCCCAUGGUGAGAGACCAAGAGUAGAUUUCGCUUGCUCGUAAUAUCCGUCAAGUUUUUGCGCAUUCUUUCGAUCGUUUGUUUUGGAUUGUUGAUCAACUCAGUUUCUGAUGGCUUCUUCUCCUUCUAUUUCAUCAGCCAGUUAAUAAAGUCUCUCCAGCUGCAAACUAAUCAGUGUUUCUACUUUUACGCCUGGAAUGUGCGGCAAAGUAUGUCCCCAGAUUUUGGUGUCGGUGCAAAUGAUGUUUAUGCAUUCGUACCUUACCUUUCAUGGGAUAUUCUAUGAUGCUAUGAUCUCAAUUAUCUUCAUUUAUUGAUAAUUAGUGAAUCCUAUCCUUCUUGUGUAGAUUCAAGUUGCAAUUCAUGAAAUUCAGAGCAAGUCCCCAAACACCACAGGAUGGAGAUGCGGGCUGGAAUGAGGUUUGUCAUGAACUAUAAUGGAAAGGCAUUCCAUAGUUCUUCGUUAUUGCCUUUGAUCGUAUGCUCAGUGUUGUUGAUACUCUUCAUAGGAUUUUUGUUAUAAAGCGACCUCUUCUCAUGUGUUGCAGUAGUCCUUUGCAAGCUUUGACAUCGUGCUAUUUCUUUAGCAAUGGCUGAAUCUGAAAAUGCUUGUUGGAGACGGUAUGGGCAGGUGGUUCUAUAUGUAAAGACCAUUUAGAUGACCACUUCUUUUUUUUUUUUUUUUGGUCGGUUUUUAGAUUACCACUUCAAGCUACAGAGUUGUGACUAGAAGAGAAUUCAUGGAAAAGUCAAUGUCGUGGAAUCAGCAAAUAAUCUGUCUGAUUGCAGCCAGGAGUUUCAACGAAAGGAUUUCCUAUUAAGACAGUAGUUUCUCAUGUGAAGAAUUUUGAACACAAAAUAAAAGUGUCCAUUGGUUAAUACUCAAGACUCUACUACGCCAAAAUGUGUUCACCA